RNAcentral lists this long non-coding RNA (248 nucleotides) under Homo sapiens (human). RNAcentral describes it as "HSALNT0174572". Lineage: Eukaryota; Metazoa; Chordata; Mammalia; Primates; Hominidae. The record is from RNAcentral.
AUAUGGCCCCGCGGGCGGGGUUUAGGCCCAAAGUGGUGUCGGAGCAGCGCCUAUUAGUGUCAUCCUCACCGUCACGGCCGGCGCCUCCUCCUGGAUUCAUUCACUCGCUCUUUUCAUUCACGAAGUUGUCACAGGUAGUACUGAUGGAAUUGGAAAAUCAUAUGCAGAAGAGUUAGCAAAGCAUGGAAUGAAGGUUGUCCUUAUCAGCAGAUCAAAGGAUAAACUUGACCAGGUUUCCAGUGAAAUAA